GACGAACGCUGGCGGCGUGCUUAGCACAUGCAAGUCGAACGGAAAGGCCCUGCUUUUGUGGGGUGCUCGAGUGGCGAACGGGUGAGUAACACGUGAGUAACCUGCCCUUGACUUUGGGAUAACUUCAGGAAACUGGGGCUAAUACCGGAUAGGAGCUCCUGCUGCAUGGUGGGGGUUGGAAAGUUUCGGCGGUUGGGGAUGGACUCGCGGCUUAUCAGCUUGUUGGUGGGGUAGUGGCUUACCAAGGCUUUGACGGGUAGCCGGCCUGAGAGGGUGACCGGCCACAUUGGGACUGAGAUACGGCCCAGACUCCUACGGGAGGCAGCAGUGGGGAAUAUUGCACAAUGGGCGGAAGCCUGAUGCAGCAACGCCGCGUGCGGGAUGACGGCCUUCGGGUUGUAAACCGCUUUCGCCAGUGACGAAGCGUGAGUGACGGUAAUGGGUAAAGAAGCACCGGCUAACUACGUG
RNAcentral lists this ribosomal RNA (468 nucleotides) under uncultured bacterium. Its description in RNAcentral is "partial 16S ribosomal RNA". It matches the Rfam family "Bacterial small subunit ribosomal RNA", at positions 28 to 507 of the family's 1533-position model. The record is from RNAcentral.